RNAcentral lists this ribosomal RNA (460 nucleotides) under uncultured bacterium. Its description in RNAcentral is "partial 16S ribosomal RNA". It matches the Rfam family "Bacterial small subunit ribosomal RNA", at positions 338 to 795 of the family's 1533-position model. The record is from RNAcentral.
CCUACGGGUGGCAGCAGUGAGGAAUAUUGGUCAAUGGACGAGAGUCUGAACCAGCCAAGUAGCGUGAAGGAUGACUGCCCUACGGGUUGUAAACUUCUUUUAUAUGGGAAUAAAAUGUUCCACGUGUGGGUUUUUGUAUGUACCCUAUGAAUAAGGAUCGGCUAACUCCGUGCCAGCAGCCGCGGUAAUACGGAGGAUCCGAGCGUUAUCCGGAUUUAUUGGGGUUAAAGGGUGCGGAGGUGGAUUGUUAAGUCAGUUGUUAAAGUUUGCGGCUCAAACGUAAAAUUGCAGUUGAAACUGGCAGUCUUGAGUACAGGAGAGGUGGGCGGAAUGCGUGGUGUAGCGGUGAAAUGCUUAGAUAGCACGAAGAACUCCGAUUGCGAAGGCAGUGCACUGGCGUGCAACUGACACUGAUGCUCGAAAGUGUGGGUAUCGAACAGGAUUAGAUACCCUAGUAGUC